CAGAGCAUCAUGCCCUUCGGGGUAGAUCUCCCACCCUUGUGUAUCAUUAUAGAAUGUUGCUUUGGCGGGCCGCGCCUAGUGUGCCUAGAUUCGCGUCUAGCAUGCCCGCCAGAGGACCCCUAAACUCUGAAUGUUAGUGUCGUCUGAGUACUAUUAAAUAGUUA
Molecule: unclassified non-coding RNA, 164 nt
Filed under: uncultured fungus
Lineage: Eukaryota; Fungi
Description: sequence contains ITS1, 5.8S rRNA gene
Source: RNAcentral